AGUGAACGCUGGCGGUAGGCCUAACACAUGCCAGUCGAACGGCAGCACAGUAAGAGCUUGCUCUUACGGGUGGCGAGUGGCGGACGGGUGAGGAAUACAUCGGAAUCUACUUUUUCGUGGGGGAUAACGUAGGGAAACUUACGCUAAUACCGCAUACGACCUACGGGUGAAAGUAGGGGAUCUUCGGACCUUGCGCGAUUGAAUGAGCCGAUGUCGGAUUAGCUAGUUGGCGGGGUAAAGGCCCACCAAGGCGACGAUCCGUAGCUGGUCUGAGAGGAUGAUCAGCCACACUGGAACUGAGACACGGUCCAGACUCCUACGGGAGGCAGCAGUGGGGAAUAUUGGACAAUGGGCGCAAGCCUGAUCCAGCCAUACCGCGUGGGUGAAGAAGGCCUUCGGGUUGUAAAGCCCUUUUGUUGGGAAAGAAAAGCAGCAGGUUAAUACCCCGCUGUUCUGACGGUACCCAAAGAAUAAGCACCGGCUAACUUCGU
Molecule: ribosomal RNA, 491 nt
Filed under: uncultured bacterium
Lineage: Bacteria
Description: partial 16S ribosomal RNA
Rfam family: Bacterial small subunit ribosomal RNA
Source: RNAcentral